Molecule: non-coding RNA, 84 nt
Organism: Podarcis lilfordi (Lilford's wall lizard)
Lineage: Eukaryota; Metazoa; Chordata; Lepidosauria; Squamata; Lacertidae
Source: the annotation of a GenBank genome assembly
GCAAGAAGAAGUUUAUCAGUUAGUUAGAGCGUGGUGCCGAUAACGCCAAGGUUGCAGGUUCGAUCCCUGUAUAUGACAGCUGCA